ACGCUCGACACCUACGAGAGGCAGCAGUGGGGAAUAUUGCACAAUGGGGGAAACCCUGAUGCAGCGACGCCGCGUGAGCGAAGAAGUAUUUCGGUAUGUAAAGCUCUAUCAGCAGGGAAGAAAAUGACGGUACCUGACUAAGAAGCCCCGGCUAACUACGUGCCACAGCCGCGGUAAUCUGAGCGGGCUGGCAAGGC
RNAcentral lists this ribosomal RNA (197 nucleotides) under uncultured bacterium. Its description in RNAcentral is "partial 16S ribosomal RNA". It matches the Rfam family "Bacterial small subunit ribosomal RNA", at positions 328 to 539 of the family's 1533-position model. The record is from RNAcentral.